GGCCACUUUUUCCCGGCAAACCUUUUAUGCCUAACUUCACUGGAAUGAUCACUCACUUUCCGUAGAAAAAGUACAAGAAACGUGUUAGAGGUUAGGCUAGACUGCAAAACUGUAUAUGUCAUAAGGUGAUACUUUUUACUCUAUUUUUCAGACCUGAGGCUGUAUUUGGGAACAGAGUAUCUCAUAAAUCUUAAUCUUCUCCAGGUGAACCAAAAUAUCUUGCAGAACACCAAUCGAACUCAUAUUUAGUUUAUCUAUAAAUGGA
This 265-nucleotide unclassified non-coding RNA is filed under the name Hevea brasiliensis (rubber tree). Lineage: Eukaryota; Viridiplantae; Streptophyta; Magnoliopsida; Malpighiales; Euphorbiaceae. The record is from RNAcentral.